CCUACGGGUGGCAGCAGUGAGGAAUAUUGGUCAAUGGACGAGAGUCUGAACCAGCCAAGUAGCGUGAAGGAUGACUGCCCUAUGGGUUGUAAACUUCUUUUAUAUGGGAAUAAAACGUUCCACGUGUGGGAUUUUGUAUGUACCAUAUGAAUAAGGAUCGGCUAACUCCGUGCCAGCAGCCGCGGUAAUACGGCGGAGCCGCGCGUUAUCCGGAUUUAUUGGGUUUAAAGGGAGCGUAGGUGGAUUGUUAAGUCAGUUGUGAAAGUUUGCGGGUCAACCGUAAAAUUGCAGUUGAAACUGGCAGUCUGAAGUACAGUAGAGGUGGGCGGAAUUCGUGGUGUAGCGGGGAAAUACUUAGAUAUCACGAAGAACUCCGAUUGCGAAGGCAGUUCACUGGACUGCAACUGACACUGAGGCUCGAAAGUGUGGGUAUCAAACAGGAAUAGAUACCCUAGUAGUC
RNAcentral lists this ribosomal RNA (460 nucleotides) under uncultured bacterium. RNAcentral's name for it is "partial 16S ribosomal RNA". It matches the Rfam family "Bacterial small subunit ribosomal RNA", at positions 338 to 795 of the family's 1533-position model. The record is from RNAcentral.